Molecule: unclassified non-coding RNA, 2757 nt
Filed under: Onthophagus taurus
Lineage: Eukaryota; Metazoa; Arthropoda; Insecta; Coleoptera; Scarabaeidae
Description: calpain-B-like, transcript variant X3
Source: RNAcentral
UAGAUCUGAAUCCUCUCCCACCUAAAUACAAUGUCAGACUCAGACCGUCAACAGAACUCGGUCAACGUAUAGAAAGACGGUAUAUUUUUAGUAUAGUCAAGUACCAAAUCGUUCGCAGACGUUUCUUCGUGAAUUGUUAAAAUAGAACUCAAAUUUCUAAAAAUCAGUGAACAAAAUUUUAUAUUAACUAUUUAACCACUAUGACCUAGAACUGACGGAACGUGAUAACGUAUGACUUUCGUGUUGCGGAUUAGAGUAUUGUGAAGUUUUUUAAUAUUCAGAGUCAUAACUUGAAUUAAAAAUGUAUGGAUUUGCUGUAAACCCGCAACAAUAUUAUAACGCGUAUCCAACUGUUGCGUAUAAUCAACCACCGAGUGCAAUUAACGGUUAUGGCUGGCAUGGAAAUGGAUAUGGGUGGCAAGCCGAUCCUUCCACGUGGCAUGUGCCAAGCCCGGAUGAACCACCUACCGAAGUUGUUGAAGAACCCAUGCUCACAGCUCAAAAGGUUGAGAAACAAGAGUCUUGGUUUGGUGAGCGAGGUUCGGGAUUUAAACGAGAUGAACCUCAAGAUUUCUAUUCUUUGCGCGACGAAUGUUUAGAUAAUGGAACGUUAUUUGAAGAUCCAGAUUUUCCACCAACUGAUUCUUCCUUGUUUUAUAGUAGACGACCAGAUAGAUAUUAUGAAUGGAAACGUCCACACGAAAUUUCCGAUAAUCCUCAAUUUUUCGUCGAGGGUUACUCGAGAUUCGACGUCCAACAAGGUGAAUUGGGUGACUGUUGGUUACUGGCAGCUGUCGCAAACCUAACAUUAUAUAAAAGAUUGUUCUUCCAAGUAGUUCCUGAUGAUCAGGGAUUUGAAGAAAAAUAUGCAGGCAUUUUUCACUUCAGAUUUUGGCAAUAUGGUCGCUGGGUUGACGUAGUUAUAGACGAUAGGUUACCCACGUAUCGCGGGCAGUUAGUAUUUUUACAUUCAACUGAAGAUAACGAAUUUUGGAGUGCCUUAUUAGAAAAAGCUUACGCCAAAUUACACGGUUCUUAUGAAGCUUUAAAAGGAGGCUCAACAUGUGAAGCUAUGGAAGAUUUUACUGGAGGUGUUACCGAAAUGUACGAAAUGAAUGCUUCUCCACCUAAUUUAUUUAAAAUUGUUUUAAAAGCAUUUGAAAGAUCUUCAUUAAUGGGCGCAUCUUUAGAGCCCGAUCCAAAUGUCUUAGAAGCGGAAACCGGCGAAGGUUUAAUCAGAGGUCACGCAUAUAGUAUCACUAGAGUGCGUUACGUCGAUAUAGAAACGCCCAACUCUAGAGGAAAGAUUCCAUUACUUAGACUAAGAAAUCCAUGGGGAAACGAAGCAGAAUGGAACGGACCUUGGAGUGAUAAAUCACCCGAAUGGCGUUUCAUUCCGGAACAUGAAAAACAAGAAUUAGGUUUAACAUUCGAUAAUGAUGGCGAAUUUUGGAUAUCAUUCAAAGAUUUUAUGCAACAUUUCGAUCGCUUAGAAAUAUGUAAUUUAAAUCCGGAUUCGUUGACGGAAGAAGAAUUAAGUGAAGGACAUAAAAAACGUUGGGAAGUUUCGUUCUUUGAAGGUGAAUGGGUUCGUGGUGUUACAGCUGGAGGAUGUAGAAAUUAUUUGGAAACAUUUUGGCAUAAUCCGCAAUAUAGGGUUACAUUAACGGAAGUUGAUGAUGAUGAUGAAGAAGGAAAAUGUACGCUUAUUGUUGCAUUGAUGCAAAAAAAUAGAAGGUCUCAACGUAAUAUGGGUAUAGAUGUCCUUACUGUUGGUUUUGCUAUUUACCAUUUACCAUAUCCAGAUAGAGUAUCAAAACCUUUAGACUUAAAUUUUUUCAAAUAUAAUGCUUCAGUGGCUCGAUCUCCAUCAUUUAUAAAUCUUCGUGAGGUUAGCUGCAGGUUCAAAUUACCUCCAGGAACGUACUGUAUAGUUCCGUCCACUUUUGAGCCAAGUGAAGAAGGCGAAUUCCUGUUGAGAAUCUUCUCAGAACACCAAAACAAUAUGGAAGAAAAUGACGCUCAAAUCGGCAUGGGUGAAGUUGAUAAAAGGGUUCGAAACGUUCAACCGACACCACAAAUUAAUCAGGUUAACGAUCAAGUUUAUGAAUUUUUCAAAAAAUUGGCUGGUGAGGACGGCGAAGUUGAUUGGAUGGAAUUAAAACAAGUUUUGGAUUAUGCUAUGAGAUUAGAGUUACAAAAUAAAGGAUUUUCAAAGGACGUUUGUAGGAGUAUGGUUGCAAUGCUCGAUUCUGAUCACUCAGGAAAGUUACGAUUCGAAGAAUUUAAAUCUUUAUGGCAUGAUGUAAGAGACUGGAAGAUGGCAUUCCGUUUGUAUGAUAGAGACAAUUCGGGAACUCUGGAUGGUUUUGAGCUGCGCCAAGCGUUCACCUCCGCAGGAUACAAUUUAAAUUAUCGCGUUUUAAACAUUUUAAUGCAUCGUUAUGGCAAUCAAAACGGUCAAAUGGAAUUUGACGAUUUCAUAAAUUGUGCGGUCAAGUUAAAAACGAUGUUAGUUCAAACAGGUGGUAUUAGCGAAGAUGCUCUUAUUCGAGCAAUCCAAUACGAUCAAGAAAACGACAAUAGGUUUGUAAAUCGAUACAACGAGAAAGGUUUUAAUGUCAAUAAUUAUUAUGGGUUUAUAUGAAUUAACGACAAGUUCUACUAAUAAAGUAACAAAAUUGUGUUGUAUAUUUAUAACAUGGUAUAUUUGAGAGUAAAAACGAGGAUCGCAAAGACAAUGCGGAGUUUUCCUUA